CGGGUGGGGAGGCGGGAGCGAGAGCCCGCGGCGGGCGAGGCGAAGAUGGUGGCGGCUACUCCUCCUGUCAUACACGUGGACCUAAACUGCACCAGAAGCUUUUUCUAAGGAUACUUGCUGAGAAGAAAGUUUUCCCUAGUGGGCAAACCUGUCUAAGCAGAACAAGCCAGACUUGGGUUUUCCCCUGUAGUUUGAAGAGCCCUACAGAAUGAUUCCUGACAAAAUGCAACCUGCAAUUGCCUGGAGAAAAUUCAGUGUUACAUUUCAAGUUUAUUAUGUAUUUGAUGAAAUAUUGUUCUGUUAGUAAUGGACAACUAUGGUGUAGUUGUCUAGCAUUAGAAAAUUACCCUCUUAGCUGAGCAGUAAAGGUAAGGAGAGUCCCAAUUACACAAGGCCAGUAUUUGGUGUCCCAACUAAAAAUAUUAUCAUGUCUACCUGAGUCUUUGCAGAUUAUUUUUCAGCUUAGAGGUCGUUUAGCUUACACUGCUUUAAGUCUGAAUUACUGUAGUUUUCUGUUAAGUUCAGUUCUGAAUGUAAUAGUCCUUGUGAGUUUUCAAGGACAACUAAGAUGGAUGUAUCCCAUGAAUUCUAGGACUGUAGGAAAAUUGUUAAAGAAGGCUUGGUUUUCUUUUUCUAGUAAUUUAAACAGGCACGGCUUUCACAGUCAUACUUCUGUAUUUGCUACUUAGUCCUGCUGUUUGAGUUGUUUUGGUGCGUUUAAUGUAAAUAAAUAAAAUUACAUAUUUCAACACUGUUUGUUAAGAAAUUGUCCAGAAUGAGCAUAUUGAAAUAAAAAUUUCAAGGUUAUUCUUA
This is a long non-coding RNA of Canis lupus familiaris (dog), 813 nucleotides long. RefSeq lists it as uncharacterized. NCBI's taxonomy places the organism in Eukaryota, Metazoa, Chordata, Mammalia, Carnivora, Canidae. The record is from RefSeq and is a predicted model, not a curated record. The transcript has 3 exons.